UCUUAAUUUCUUCUCCAUCCUCAAUAUUCAUAUGAGGAAGUUCUCUCAGUUGAGGGGAAUGUUGUCUGGCUCGAGGUCACCAAUUAGAUCCAUGACUCUUCCAUUUUAUGCCUUUCAAAAAGAUUAGUUGAUUUUAAUAUGAAAAAGGGGUUAUGGAUCAUGUGUUAGUGUUGUCGGACCAGGCUUCAUUCCCCCCAAUUGUUUCUUCCUCCAAGGUUGAAGUUAGAGGAGUGAAAGAGAUUUAUUUGAAUCGUAAUAUAUAUAUAUAUAUAUAAGGCUACCAUUCUUUUAUUUAUGUAUAUACCGUAAAUAAUGAACCUUCUUGUUGAAAAUUUUGCCUUCGCUAUAUGUACAGAUUUUGAAAAAGGUAAGCUUAUUUUUUAUGUGAGAUCUUGAUAUAUAUGAGAAUAGUUUUUGUAGGUUGUGGGAUUUGGUCAUUAUAAGGUAAUGUUGAUGGACUAGAGCAGAUUGGUGUAAUGAUGAAGUUUUUUGACUCCUUCCACUUUUCUGCCACGGCAUCAGGCAUGGGAAUUAAUAAUCUUUAAAUAUAAAAUAUCGCAACUUAUAUUGUGGAUAAGAUCUUGUGAGAUCAUCAUACAUAGAUCUAUGCUAAUAAAAUUUCUUCACACGAAGAAGAAGUCAUUCCUCAUUUCUGUUUCACUUUUUGGGUUAAAACUAUAGAAAGUGUGCAGGAAUAUUUUCAUUCUAAGCUUUGGUAAAACUGGCGUAAGAUUUCUUUUCUGCUGAAGAAUGAUCAGAAAUUAACUUUUCAAAGAUCUAUACUCUUGGCCACGGAGUACGUUUGAUUUUGAAGCAACUCACUUGCAGGACUUGUUGUUUACCAUAUUGUUUAAGUUAUGUAUACCCUCAUUCUAAAGAAUUUUGUAACACUAUCAGGUUAUUCAAAGGAUAAUUGCUCCUAGUAAAUUCUCUAAAAUGUGAAAUUGGUAAUCUUGAAAAUAUGACAAGUUACUAUAACAUGUAAAGGUGAAAUGAUAGAGUAAUUUCUUUUUAACUUACAAUGUAUAUAACUUAAUAAUUUCUCAAUCAACUUGUUAGUGAAUCAUUGUUUACCAUAUACAUUACAAACCGUGAAGUUCAUCAAAUAGAGUGAUUUUCUAAAAAGUGUCAAUAAUAUUGUACUAUCAAUAUCAACAAAGAAACUAAUGAGCUGUGAUGGUAGAAAUUACAUAAUGGAUCUGGGGAUGAACUGGCAUGGAUGCAACAAUGCAUAUGCACUUUGGAAAUUGAAGCUGAAUCCUGUCGUCGCUUUGGCUCUAUUACAUUCUUGUGAUCUGCUCCUAUUGUUUGAUGGGAUGUCUUUGUACUAUGUUCAAACAUUCAGUAUAAAAACAGAAAAGGAAAACUUUUUUUUUUUUUUUUU
Long non-coding RNA from Lycium ferocissimum, 1384 nucleotides. RefSeq lists it as uncharacterized. The transcript has 2 exons. The record is from RefSeq and is a predicted model, not a curated record. NCBI's taxonomy places the organism in Eukaryota, Viridiplantae, Streptophyta, Magnoliopsida, Solanales, Solanaceae.